RNAcentral lists this small nuclear RNA (172 nucleotides) under Octodon degus (degu). Its description in RNAcentral is "U2 spliceosomal RNA (ENSODEG00000022928.1)". It matches the Rfam family "U2 spliceosomal RNA". Rfam says of the family: U2 is a small nuclear RNA (snRNA) component of the spliceosome (involved in pre-mRNA splicing). Complementary binding between U2 snRNA (in an area lying towards the 5' end but 3' to hairpin I) and the branchpoint sequence (BPS) of the intron results the bulging out of an unpaired adenosine, on the BPS, which initiates a nucleophilic attack at the intronic 5' splice site, thus starting the first of two transesterification reactions that mediate splicing. Lineage: Eukaryota; Metazoa; Chordata; Mammalia; Rodentia; Octodontidae. The record is from Rfam by way of RNAcentral.
AGAUCUUCUUGAGUGUACAGUAUCUGUUCUUAUCAGUUUAGUAUCUGAUACGUUCUGUCUUUAAGAACAAUAUAUUAAAUGGGUUUUUGGAAAUAGGAGAUGGAAUAGGAGCUUGUCCUGUCACUUCCACACACUGAUCUGGUAUCAUGACUUCAGGACUGGUGUAUCCCAU